AAAGCGUGCGCAGGCGGUUUUGUAAGUCUGACGUGAAAUCCCCGGGCUCAACCUGGGAAUUGCGUUGGAGACUGCAAGGCUGGAGUCUGGCAGAGGGGGGUAGAAUUCCACGUGUAGCAGUGAAAUGCGUAGAGAUGUGGAGGAACACCGAUGGCGAAGGCAGCCCCCUGGGUCAAGACUGACGCUCAUGCACGAAAGCGUGGGGAGCAAACAGGAUUAGAUACCCGUGU
Molecule: ribosomal RNA, 230 nt
Filed under: uncultured bacterium
Lineage: Bacteria
Description: partial 16S ribosomal RNA
Rfam family: Bacterial small subunit ribosomal RNA
Source: RNAcentral